RNAcentral lists this ribosomal RNA (253 nucleotides) under uncultured bacterium. RNAcentral describes it as "partial 16S ribosomal RNA". It matches the Rfam family "Bacterial small subunit ribosomal RNA", at positions 524 to 776 of the family's 1533-position model. The record is from RNAcentral.
UACGGAGGGGGCUAGCGUUGUUCGGAAUUACUGGGCGUAAAGCGCACGUAGGCGGCUUUGCAAGUUAGAGGUGAAAGCCCGGGGCUCAACCCCGGAAUUGCCUUUAAAACUGCAUCGCUUGAAUUGUGGAGAGGUAAGUGGAAUUCCGAGUGUAGAGGUGAAAUUCGUAGAUAUUCGGAAGAACACCAGUGGCGAAGGCGACUUACUGGACACAUAUUGACGCUGAGGUGCGAAAGCGUGGGGAGCAAACAGG